RNAcentral lists this ribosomal RNA (1790 nucleotides) under Staphylococcus epidermidis. RNAcentral's name for it is "bacterial LSU rRNA". It matches the Rfam family "Bacterial large subunit ribosomal RNA", at positions 1128 to 2925 of the family's 2925-position model. Lineage: Bacteria; Bacillati; Bacillota; Bacilli; Caryophanales; Staphylococcaceae. The record is from RNAcentral.
GGGUGCGUAAUAGCUCACUAGUCGAGUGACACUGCGCCGAAAAUGUACCGGGGCUAAACAUAUUACCGAAGCUGUGGAUUGUCCUUUGGACAAUGGUAGGAGAGCGUUCUAAGGGCGUCGAAGCAUGAUCGCAAGGACAUGUGGAGCGCUUAGAAGUGAGAAUGCCGGUGUGAGUAGCGAAAGACGGGUGAGAAUCCCGUCCACCGAUUGACUAAGGUUUCCAGAGGAAGGCUCGUCCGCUCUGGGUUAGUCGGGUCCUAAGCUGAGGCCGACAGGCGUAGGCGAUGGAUAACAGGUUGAUAUUCCUGUACCACCUAGUAUCGUUUUAAUCGAUGGGGGGACGCAGUAGGAUAGGCGAAGCGUGCUGUUGGAGUGCACGUCCAAGCAGUAAGGCUGAGUGUUAGGCAAAUCCGGCACUCAUAAGGCUGAGCUGUGAUGGGGAGAGGAAAUUGUUUCCUCGAGUCGUUGAUUUCACACUGCCGAGAAAAGCCUCUAGAUAGAUAACAGGUGCCCGUACCGCAAACCGACACAGGUAGUCAAGAUGAGAAUUCUAAGGUGAGCGAGCGAACUCUCGUUAAGGAACUCGGCAAAAUGACCCCGUAACUUCGGGAGAAGGGGUGCUCUUUAGGGUUCACGCCCAGAAGAGCCGCAGUGAAUAGGCCCAAGCGACUGUUUAUCAAAAACACAGGUCUCUGCUAAACCGUAAGGUGAUGUAUAGGGGCUGACGCCUGCCCGGUGCUGGAAGGUUAAGAGGAGUGGUUAGCUUCUGCGAAGCUACGAAUCGAAGCCCCAGUAAACGGCGGCCGUAACUAUAACGGUCCUAAGGUAGCGAAAUUCCUUGUCGGGUAAGUUCCGACCCGCACGAAAGGCGUAACGAUUUGGGCACUGUCUCAACGAGAGACUCGGUGAAAUCAUAGUACCUGUGAAGAUGCAGGUUACCCGCGACAGGACGGAAAGACCCCGUGGAGCUUUACUGUAGCCUGAUAUUGAAAUUCGGCACAGCUUGUACAGGAUAGGUAGGAGCCUUUGAAACGUGAGCGCUAGCUUACGUGGAGGCGUUGGUGGGAUACUACCCUAGCUGUGUUGGCUUUCUAACCCGCACCACUUAUCGUGGUGGGAGACAGUGUCAGGCGGGCAGUUUGACUGGGGCGGUCGCCUCCUAAAAGGUAACGGAGGCGCUCAAAGGUUCCCUCAGAAUGGUUGGAAAUCAUUCAUAGAGUGUAAAGGCAUAAGGGAGCUUGACUGCGAGACCUACAAGUCGAGCAGGGUCGAAAGACGGACUUAGUGAUCCGGUGGUUCCGCAUGGAAGGGCCAUCGCUCAACGGAUAAAAGCUACCCCGGGGAUAACAGGCUUAUCUCCCCCAAGAGUUCACAUCGACGGGGAGGUUUGGCACCUCGAUGUCGGCUCAUCGCAUCCUGGGGCUGUAGUCGGUCCCAAGGGUUGGGCUGUUCGCCCAUUAAAGCGGUACGCUAGCUGGGUUCAGAACGUCGUGAGACAGUUCGGUCCCUAUCCGUCGUGGGCGUAGGAAAUUUGAGAGGAGCUGUCCUUAGUACGAGAGGACCGGGAUGGACAUACCUCUGGUGUACCAGUUGUCGUGCCAACGGCAUAGCUGGGUAGCUAUGUAUGGACGGGAUAAGUGCUGAAAGCAUCUAAGCAUGAAGCCCCCCUCAAGAUGAGAUUUCCCAACUUCGGUUAUAAGAUCCCUCGAAGAUGACGAGGUUAAUAGGUUCGAGGUGGAAGCGUGGUGACACGUGGAGCUGACGAAUACUAAUCGAUCGAAGACUUAAUC